GACGAACGCUGGCGGCGUGCUUAACACAUGCAAGUCGUACGGUAAGGCCCUUUCGGGGGUACACGAGUGGCGAACGGGUGAGUAACACGUGAGUAACCUGCCCACAACUUUGGGAUAACGCUAGGAAACUGGUGCUAAUACUGGAUAUGUGCUCCUGCUGCAUGGUGGGGGUUGGAAAGCUCCGGCGGUUGUGGAUGGACUCGCGGCCUAUCAGCUUGUUGGUGGGGUAGUGGCCUACCAAGGCGGCGACGGGUAGCCGGCCUGAGAGGGUGACCGGCCACAUUGGGACUGAGAUACGGCCCAGGCUCCUACGGGAGGCAGCAGUGGGGAAUAUUGCACAAUGGGCGCGAGCCUGAUGCAGCAACGCCGCGUGCGGGAUGACGGCCUUCGGGUUGUAAACCGCUUUCAGCAGGGACGAAGCUUUUUGUGACGGUACCUGCAGAAGAAGCACCGGCUAACUACGUG
Molecule: ribosomal RNA, 465 nt
Filed under: uncultured bacterium
Lineage: Bacteria
Description: partial 16S ribosomal RNA
Rfam family: Bacterial small subunit ribosomal RNA
Source: RNAcentral